This 24-nucleotide non-coding RNA is filed under the name Arabidopsis thaliana (thale cress). The record is from RNAcentral. Lineage: Eukaryota; Viridiplantae; Streptophyta; Magnoliopsida; Brassicales; Brassicaceae.
AUUCUAGAAGUCGAAUAUCCGAGA